Molecule: ribosomal RNA, 200 nt
Filed under: uncultured prokaryote
Description: partial 16S ribosomal RNA
Rfam family: Bacterial small subunit ribosomal RNA
Source: RNAcentral
CGUCAAAUCAUCAUGCCCCUUAUGGCCAGGGCUACACACGUGCUACAAUGGCGCAGACAAAGGGAAGCGAAGCCGCGAGGUGGAGCAAAACCCAGAAAGAGCGUCCCAGUUCGGAUUGUAGUCUGCAACCCGACUACAUGAAGCCGGAAUCGCUAGUAAUCGCGGAUCAGCAUGCCGCGGUGAAUACGUUCCCGGGUCUU